RNAcentral lists this ribosomal RNA (465 nucleotides) under uncultured bacterium. RNAcentral describes it as "partial 16S ribosomal RNA". It matches the Rfam family "Bacterial small subunit ribosomal RNA", at positions 28 to 507 of the family's 1533-position model. The record is from RNAcentral.
GACGAACGCUGGCGGCGUGCUUAACACAUGCAAGUCGAACGGAAAGGCCCUGCUUGCAGGGUACUCGAGUGGCGAACGGGUGAGUAACACGUGGGUGAUCUGCCCUGCACUUCGGGAUAAGCCUGGGAAACUGGGUCUAAUACCGGAUAGGAGCCAUUUUUGUGUGGUGGGUGGGAAAGUUUUUUCGGUGUAGGAUGAGCUCGCGGCCUAUCAGCUUGUUGGUGGGGUAAUGGCCUACCAAGGCGGCGACGGGUAGCCGGCCUGAGAGGGUGGACGGCCACAUUGGGACUGAGAUACGGCCCAGACUCCUACGGGAGGCAGCAGUGGGGAAUAUUGCACAAUGGGCGCAAGCCUGAUGCAGCGACGCCGCGUGGGGGAUGACGGCCUUCGGGUUGUAAACUCCUUUCGCUAGGGACGAAGCUUUUUGUGACGGUACCUAGAUAAGAAGCACCGGCUAACUACGUG